This 16-nucleotide transfer RNA is filed under the name Luciobrotula bartschi. Its description in RNAcentral is "partial tRNA-Leu". The record is from RNAcentral. Lineage: Eukaryota; Metazoa; Chordata; Actinopteri; Ophidiiformes; Ophidiidae.
CCCGCCUCGAAGAAUA